Molecule: transfer RNA, 66 nt
Filed under: Kroppcarcinus siderastreicola
Lineage: Eukaryota; Metazoa; Arthropoda; Malacostraca; Decapoda; Cryptochiridae
Description: tRNA-Glu
Source: RNAcentral
GUUUUUAUAGUGUAUUUAACAUAUUGUAUUUUCAUUACAAAGCUGAAAUCUUUAUUUCUAAAAACC